Arabidopsis thaliana (thale cress) is the source of this 247-nucleotide long non-coding RNA. RefSeq annotates it as other RNA. The record is from RefSeq. The transcript has a single exon. Lineage: Eukaryota; Viridiplantae; Streptophyta; Magnoliopsida; Brassicales; Brassicaceae.
AACGCGGGCUUCACAAACUUUGCAUACUGCAAAUGAAAAUAACACCCUCAAAACAAGAAAACUGGAAAAAUAGAGGAAGCUCGGAAAAAACAACUCUGUUAUAUAGAAGAACAGUUCAGAGAGCAGAGUUAAGCAAAUUGCUGGUUUUGUGUCCUAUUUGAAGAAAGUUUAACUUUACUUGUGUGGUGUUCCUCGCGAUUAGUUAAGCAAACCUGAAAGAAUGUCGCCGUUGACUUUUAAUGCAGAA